CCCCUCGAUGUCCUGGGCUGCACGCGCGCUACACUGAUUUGUUCACUUUGUUGGGUUGCUUGUGAAAGUUGCCGAAGCACUGAGAGCAAACCGUGACUGGAAUUGACGAUUGCAAUUAUUCGUCAUGAACGAGGAAUUCCUUGUAAACGCGCGUCACCAACGCGUAUUGAAUACGUCCCUGCGAUUUGUACACACCGCCCGUCGCUGGAACCGACGAGUUUGGUGUUGAGCUUUUUGGAAUAUGAUCAUUUUGGUCGUGUAAAGAAACGCAAAAUGCCUGGCUUGGAGGAUCCAAAAGUCGUAACA
Molecule: ribosomal RNA, 306 nt
Filed under: uncultured eukaryote
Lineage: Eukaryota
Description: partial 18S ribosomal RNA
Rfam family: Eukaryotic small subunit ribosomal RNA
Source: RNAcentral